RNAcentral lists this transfer RNA (46 nucleotides) under Threskiornis aethiopicus (Sacred ibis). Its description in RNAcentral is "partial tRNA-Trp". Lineage: Eukaryota; Metazoa; Chordata; Aves; Pelecaniformes; Threskiornithidae. The record is from RNAcentral.
AAGGCCUUCAAAGCCUUAGACAAGAGCUAAACCCUCUUAGUUUCUG